GAGGGGGGAGGUGGGAGGGGCGGCCCCAGGAGAGAGAGAGAGAGAGGACGGCGAAAGCGGAGGUUUGUUCGCUGAACAAAACAAGUAGGCGGCGAAAAAAGGCGUGGGCUGGUCCUGGCUUUUGUGCGCAGGGGUAAGUUUAUCUUUCCAGAUAGUGGCAAACAACAACUCUAAAGUGUUUGGCUCAGAAAGGGACAAGAUUACAGGUCUGUCAACAAACAGUAAGUAUAUAGGUUGUUCCUAGAUAAGCUAGAAAAGUUUUUGCGUGUGAUAUUUACAGGGGGAAUUUUAAAAACUUUAGAUUUAAUAAUAAUAGUAGUAAUAACUUUAUUUUUAUAUCCCACGACCAUCUCCCAAAGGGACUCAGGGCAACAUGUAAGGGAGGCCAAGCCCAGCACAGCAAAGUUUAUGGACUAAAGACACAUUUAAAAACAUGGUAAAUAGCAAUCUGAUUAAAACAAUUAAAACAGCAGAAUAUAAAAAAUUACAGUUAAAAUGAAUCAAACAAACCUCAAUAACAAGAACGAGUGAUAAGGCGGGCAAAAUCAGAAAUUAAGAGAGGGCUGGGCAUGGGCUUAUGCAAGCAGAUUAUAGGGCCAGGGCUGGGGUAAAGUGCUGAGUUUACUGUAAUGGUCAGUUUGGACUGGCCAUUCAUAGACAGAGGCCUAAUCAUUAUCAAGCGCACACUGGAACCAGGUUUUGAGACCCUGCGGAAGGUGGACAGAGUGGGUGCCAGAUUUGUGAUAAGGUUUAUGGAAAUCACGUUAAGGGGGAAUAAUGAAGCCUAAACAUUUUUGAGCACAUAUCAAAACUAUGUGGUAAUGCUUGUAUUUUGUGUCACAUUACAACAGUUUCAAGACUGUUGUCCUGAGGGCUUUGGAGAUUCUAAACACUUCAGUAAGGAUGGCUUUAGCUUUAAGCAGCUGCUAUCAGUAAAUAAUACAUUGAUUCACUGUAGUCUAUAAGGAAACUUUCCGAAACAUAUUUUUAGUACUCGUGAUUGGAAUUUAAGUGUUUCUGGUUUUAAAAGAUAUUUGUCAUUUCUUUCUAGUUUAAUUGAUAUUCACAUAUAAUUACAUUUCAGUACUUUUGGUGUCUUGCUAGGUCAGUCAGUAGAUUGAGAACAGGCAGGAAGAAGUGUAAUAUUUUCUGUAAAUUUAAAUAUGAUUUCAAAUGUAUUUGGAGAACCGGUUACAGUACAAAUUAAUGAGAACUUGUUUUCUUUUAUCAGGUGAAACAGUGAUAAGCUACGAAGAUUUAAUUCAUGUCAGAGUAAUGUCAAAGUGCUUACAGUGCAGGUAGUGAUAAGUAGAACCUACUGCAGUGAAGGCACUUGUAGCAUUAUGCUGGCAACUGCCUCAAAAGGUUUGGAAAAUUACUCUACUGCCUCUCCUGCAUAGUGACUGCUUUUUGUUCUAAGGUGCAUCUAGUGCAGAUAGUGAAGUAGAUUAGCAUCUACUGCCCUAAGUGCUCCUUCUGGCAUAAGAAGUUGUGUUUUCACCCAAUCGCUUACACUGAGCCUAAAACCUAAUGUUUUGCAGUCCUCUGUUAGUUUUGCAUAGUUGCACUACAAGAAGAAUGUAGUUGUGCAAAUCUAUGCAAAACUGAUUGUGGCCUGUUAUUGUCUGCAUUUCAAGCUUUUAAUGAUUUUGCUUUUAGGUUGACCUAUGUCUGUGUCCAGAAUGCUUGUCGGAACAGCUCCUGUAGCACUAAAGUGCUUAUAGUGCAGGUAGUGAUUAAUAAUCUACUGCAUUACGAGCACUUAAAGUACUGCUAGCUGUAGAGCAUCAGUUUUGUCCUGUCUUUUGUGUAUCCCUUUCUUUUCAUGUCAGUUGAGCACUGUUCUCUGGUUAGUUUUGCAGGUUUGCAUCCAGCUGUAUAAUGUGUUGCUGUGCAAAUCCAUGCAAAACUGACUGUGGCAGUGAAAUUCAAUGAAAAUUUGAUAAAUUGUACCCCUUUCUACACAGGUUGGGAUUGGUUGCAAUGCUGUCUAUGUGUAUGUGGUAUUGCACUUGUCCCGGCCUGUUGAGGUUGGUGGGUCUAGAACCUGGAAGAACAUGCCGAGUUUCCUUCCCAACCGAUCUGGAACUACAUGAAACUGCAGUGGAAUGGUGUUAACCUAGAGUUUAUCAAUAGCAAUUUUAAUUUCAUAAAGCAGGGUGCAUUUGGUAUUUUGUAUACUCUAGUGUUUCUGACUUGCCAGUGAAUAUUUUAUGCUGCUGUUCUUCCCAAAUGAGUACUUUUUGUCAUAUAAAGCAACUUGUCUAACCUAAAGUUUUAAAUAAACAAGUAUUGUGAAUUGA
Long non-coding RNA from Anolis carolinensis (green anole), 2303 nucleotides. RefSeq lists it as uncharacterized. NCBI's taxonomy places the organism in Eukaryota, Metazoa, Chordata, Lepidosauria, Squamata, Anolidae. The record is from RefSeq and is a predicted model, not a curated record. The transcript has 2 exons.